GGUUUGAUCUUGGCUCAGAGCGAACGCUGGCGGCAGGCCUAAAACAUGCAAGUCGAACGCCGUAGCAAUACGGAGUGGCAGACGGGUGAGUAACACGUGGGAACGUACCCUUUGGUUCGGAACAACACAGGGAAACUUGUGCUAAUACCGGAUAAGCCCUUACGGGGAAAGAUUUAUCGCCGAAGGAUCGGCCCGCGUCUGAUUAGCUAGUUGGUGGGGUAACGGCCCACCAAGGCUACGAUCAGUAGCUGGUCUGAGAGGAUGAUCAGCCACACUGGGACUGAGACACGGCCCAGACUCCUACGGGAGGCAGCAGUUAGGAAUCUUGGACAAUGGGCGCAAGCCUGAUCCAGCCAUGCCGCGUGAGUGAUGAAGGCCUUAGGGUUGUAAAGCUCUUUCAGCGGGGAAGAUAAUGACGGUACCCGCAGAAGAAGCCCCGGCUAACUUCGUGCCAG
This 455-nucleotide ribosomal RNA is filed under the name uncultured Alphaproteobacteria bacterium. Its description in RNAcentral is "bacterial SSU rRNA". It matches the Rfam family "Bacterial small subunit ribosomal RNA", at positions 10 to 511 of the family's 1533-position model. The record is from RNAcentral. Lineage: Bacteria; Pseudomonadati; Pseudomonadota; Alphaproteobacteria.